Numida meleagris (helmeted guineafowl) is the source of this 3652-nucleotide long non-coding RNA. RefSeq lists it as uncharacterized. NCBI's taxonomy places the organism in Eukaryota, Metazoa, Chordata, Aves, Galliformes, Numididae. The record is from RefSeq and is a predicted model, not a curated record. The transcript has 3 exons.
UCUCACCAGGCAAAGUGGCUGCCACUGCUCCAUGCACCUGCAAGACAAAAGGGGCUGCACAUGGGGAUACUGCAGUGGGGGUACCUGGGGUGAGAUCCAGGGAGAAUUUAACUGCACUUAUUUGCCCACAGUAAUUAUUUUGGGUAAAAGGGACUCAUUAAUGCAGGUUAAAGGUAUUUGGUUGGUGUCAGUUGCUAUAAAGUGCAAUUCUCAGAAUGUCCCUCUCUUAGAAAGCCACAAGCACAAAAGAUGACAAAGGAAGGUCUGACACAGCUACCACGAACCUAGAGGGCCUGUCUUUCUACACAGGACAAAAUCCUUUCCCAGUGUUACUGACUUUAAAAGAGAAGUUCUCUUGUUUCCUGUAACUUCACAGCUGCAGAAUUUACCAUCAAAUUCAGCACUGAGCAACCACUGCCUGCAGAAAUGUCAGAUGAUGCAAAGUACCUCAGAAAGAUCUGGAAAGCGCUCAGCGUUCCUCAGAACAGAAAUAGCUGCUACCACCAGGGAAAAAUUCCUGUCACGUAUGGCCCAAAGCAAUGGACAUUAGAGUAUUAACUGCACAAACACAGAGGUAGACUAAAUACAGACAUUACAUUUGCUGGGGGAGUGGGCUUGAUUUUCAGCAUUGGCAGAGGCUCUUUGCCUGGGAUUUGCAGAGUACCACCAUUUUUUACUGUGCUGUUUCCAGACCAAUUCCUUAAUUAGCAUUUAAUACGCAGCUCUUUUGAAAAGCGAAUCCUAGGAGACUCGAUGUAAAGGCAGAAGCAGCUGCUUUGCCCAUGUUGCCCGUGCAGUGCUUGCUGCACAGAUGUGCUCCAGUUGCCAUCAGAAAAUGUUGCCUCUCCUCAGCUUGUCACAUUUUUACCUGUUUGAACAGAAGGGAAAUACAGUGCUGCGUUUUUGCCUACGCUUCGGAGAAAACAGACCAGGUCCUCAGCACUGAAAAACCGGCUGUAUUUAAAGAAAGCAUCUUCAGUUUGUUUAGCUCAAAACUCUUUCCCCACCAGCAGAAUGAACGAAAAUUGAAACCAGUCUGUGGGGCGCAAUCAACAGGAGGAGCCAGAGAGGACUGGGAGUGCAGUGGCACUGGGCGUGGAGGCAGUGCGCUUCCCAAACACAGAACUCAGCCUUUUUGUUAAAUAUAGCCCUAAACUCUCGCUGGGCUUGAAAGCAUGCGUCAGCUUUAUCUGCACUGACCAGCCUGUAAUCUUACACGCUCUCAGGGAUCUGUAAAACAGUCCUAACAUGAACUACGCCUGUUUAGCUCGGAGCCCGUCCUUUCAGACAGCGCUGGGGCUGGAGUCACAUUCCUGGUCUUUUUCAGUUCGGCGUGGCUCUUUGCCCCAGGUCAGCUCGAGCUGGUGGCAGCAUCCAGUGUGAGACCUGGCCGCAGGACUGGCAUUCUGAAAGAGCCGUGCGGGGUCCUAGAAAGAUUUCUUGGUUUUGCUUAUAAUUUUGGUGUAGGGGAUUUCUUCAAAACAAGACGGAUCCGUUAAGCUUAUUUUCUACUUAAUUCCAUGCUAACAAUAAAUUACUUCAAAUAACAGCAAAAAGUAAGAAUAUUCAAGACAUUGUCCUUUUGAUCUGAGGUUUCUAAUGCUGAUGCCAUUAUCUUCUAAAUUAAAUCCUCUGCUGCCAUCAGGUAAACAAGUGUUGCUAGCCACAGUGUCUGCAUGGUUCUCUUAAGAAUGGUGCUAAAACCAUCAUGGGGAUUUGGGGUCAGCUGAGACACAGGAUAUCUGAUCCUGCAGAUCCUAACUGGAAUUUCCUUGGUAGCUGGAACAGUAGAGGACAAGCUGAAUUAUCAAAUUCACCAGACAACUUAAAAUGGUCCAAAAUUAAGUGCUGGAGUUAAACAUACUGGUUUGCUUUUACUAGGCUGGAAAGAAACAUAAUUUUGAAAAGCACUGUUUGAGUAAAAUUAAUUCGCUUCUAAAUGGAGUUAACAAUAAUUUUCCUAUGUUCUGCCUUUUUCACCCUAGCACCCUUCAAAACAGUCAGGAAAGAGACAUACAUAUACACAAAUCUCAUGUUUGCCACUGCAGUGGUGGCAACAUUUUUCAUCUACAAUUCUAUGGUUUUUUAAUCUCUUCCAUCUGCUCCACAUGUGUUCAGCAUUCCCUGGACACCGCCAGUUCCCUAACUCUAUUAGCUCAGUUUGUACAUCAAGCCCAUGUAUUGCAAUCAAGCACGCUGGGCUACUUACUCUUACUCCUACUGCCUAUAGCAGACUGUAAAGUUGUUGUAGCAACUGCUUGCGCUGAGAAGUACACAGCGUAAGGUCGCUCCAGGGAAACAAGCUGCUGCUCUAUUUUGAUAGGUAUCACCCAGGCUACUUUACAUAGACAAGAAAAAAACAAAACUCUUCAGUUAUAUGUAACAAGACAGUAUCUCAGAAGAGAUUUCGGGCUUUUGAGAAGGCUGCAUUUCAGGCCACUUGUCCUCCUGGAGGCCCCCUGCACAGCUGAGCCAGGCCGCGCCGCGCUGGCCCCCGAGCUGCCCGCAGCCAGCUGCCACCACCACGAGCUGCCGGGCCGUGCCCGGGCUUACUGCCACAGCUGAGAUCUCGAGGGAAUUCCACAGCCGCGGCCUCACCCGGCAGGCAGGGGAUGCUCCAGGGUGCAUUCUUAGGAGGUUUAUGAACAUUUUCCCCAACGGAAUAGCAUCAAAUCAAAUGUGGAAAGAGAAUUGCAACAUUUCAGCUUCUGAAGAUGGGGUUUUUAUUUUCCAUGCUACUGAUUGCUAUUGCUUCUUUAAUAGUUGUCUUGAUAUUUUUGCACUGGACUUUGUUUACGCAGUUUUCCUUGGAAAGCUCCAGGAGCUUGCUGGAGAACUGGCAGUAGGAUACAAGGUGCAAUGAAAGGAUGCCCAAUUAUCAGCCCGCCAGUUCUAGUUCUAAAAUUGUGUGCAAUCCCAUUCCACUCACCCGAAAGAAGUCCUCCUUUUAGAAGGCAACCUGCUGGCCAUGGCAGCAGAAGGUCCAUCGGUCACUGCUCACCAGAAAGCUCUCCGGACCUUCUCUGUCCGAACAGCAGGUUGAGAAAGAUGAAGCUGCUGAUUUCAGCCGCCUGCUUCCAGAAAGGCACUGAUGGAAUUGCUUACAGUAUACAAUAGAGCUUGAAACCACUGCAGUAUCUGGACUCUGGUAUUACUCGGGAGCUACAGCACAAAUGCAGCCCUGUCCAGGACAAACAAUGCCCUCUUCUGUCUUUUCAUCCCGCUGAUCCUCAAAAUAUUUGAACACUGGAAUCACUUCACUGAUGCACCAUUUGAUUAAACCACACUUAGCUGUCAAACAUCAAUGAAUUAUUGUUUGUAAAGACCUAAUGCUUUCAUAUCUGAUGCCGUUAUGUCUCUAGUACCAAUUAUCAUAUUAAUUUAGCUUACUUUUCUAUAGUCCUCAUUCUAAUUAUUCUCAGUGCUUUGCUGUUUGUUGGUGGUGUCUAAUGAGGGACGAAGGAAUGCUUCCGAGUUCCUGGGUCUGGGUGCGUGCCGUGGAGGCCUGAACUCCACAUUUGGACAAUUCCCAAAUGCACAUCAGCCCCUCAUCACGCUCUGGUUUCCACAGAACAUAAGCACAAGGGCUCACAGGCGGUGCCAAGUUUUGGGCAGUUCCUGCUCUCAGCACGUGGAGCAGUGUGGAGCUCAA